RNAcentral lists this ribosomal RNA (445 nucleotides) under uncultured bacterium. Its description in RNAcentral is "bacterial SSU rRNA". It matches the Rfam family "Bacterial small subunit ribosomal RNA", at positions 354 to 796 of the family's 1533-position model. The record is from RNAcentral.
GUGAGGAAUAUUGGUCAAUGGGCGCAAGCCUGAACCAGCCAUCCCGCGUGCAGGAAGACGGCCCUAUGGGUUGUAAACUGCUUUUUCAGGGGAAGAAAACCCGCGACGUGUCGCGGCUUGCCGGUACCCUGGGAAUAAGCAUCGGCUAACUCCGUGCCAGCAGCCGCGGUAAUACGGAGGAUGCGAGCGUUAUCCGGAUUUAUUGGGUUUAAAGGGUGCGUAGGCGGAUUAAUAAGUCAGUGGUGAAAACCUGCAGCUUAACUGUAGACCUGCCGUUGAUACUGUUAGUCUUGAGUAUGGUCAAGGUAGGCGGAAUGUGUAAUGUAGCGGUGAAAUGCUUAGAUAUUACACAGAACACCGAUUGCGAAGGCAGCUUACUGGGCCAAAACUGACGCUGAUGCACGAAAGCGUGGGGAGCGAACAGGAUUAGAAACCCGGGUAGUCC